GACGAACGCUGGCGGCGUGGAUUAGGCAUGCAAGUCGAACGGUAGGAUCCUUUCGGGGAUCUGAGAGUGGCGAACGGGUGAGUAACGCGUAGGUGAUCUACCUUCAAGUGGGGGACAACCCAGGGAAACUUGGGCUAAUACCGCAUGUGUCCGUAAGGAUAAAGCCGGCCUCUGAAUAUGCUGGUGCUUGGAGCUGAGCCUGCGUCUGAUUAGCUAGUUGGUGGGGUAACGGCCUACCUAGGCGAUGAUAAGUAGGCGGCUUUAACGAGUGGUCGCCCACACUGGGAUUGAGAUACGGCCCAGACUCCUACGGGAGGCAG
RNAcentral lists this ribosomal RNA (320 nucleotides) under uncultured Spirochaetota bacterium. RNAcentral's name for it is "bacterial SSU rRNA". It matches the Rfam family "Bacterial small subunit ribosomal RNA", at positions 28 to 351 of the family's 1533-position model. The record is from RNAcentral. Lineage: Bacteria; Pseudomonadati; Spirochaetota.